Molecule: long non-coding RNA, 907 nt
Filed under: Capsicum annuum
Lineage: Eukaryota; Viridiplantae; Streptophyta; Magnoliopsida; Solanales; Solanaceae
Description: long non-coding RNA (CANN_LNC015639)
Source: RNAcentral
CCUGAUCUUAUCCAAGGAUUUCAAAAAGACACUUAAAGUUUAGAUACGACCUAUUACCCCACGAUUGAUUUUUAAUCCGUUGUAAAUACACAAUUUUAACCAUAUUGUUUAGUAACCCAUAGGCGCGUGGUUGACACUCUCUCUUUAAAUAAUAAUUUAUUUUCUCUUUCCUCUUCUUCCAUAUUCACCUUGCUCAUACCUCAAGAAGAAGAUUAUUUCAGAAAUCAAAAUUACUAAAGGUUUUUUCUUUUGUUCAUAAUGUGGACUGAUAAGGAAAAAUUACUUCCCCAAGAACCUGAAGAGAAAUUUAUUAAUAUUCAUAAUAUCCAACUCAAAUCCAUAAGAUUAGUCAAGAAAGUGAUGCAUUUGUUCAUGUUAUUGCUUUAAUCAUUGGUAUCUUGAUUAGCUGCCACAGUACAAUAUGGGGGGUGCGGAUAACUUGGAUAACUUAAAUAGAUCUAUUAUUGAUCCAAUGGAUCUAUUUUUGUUUAUGCGUGGAUAUUUCUUAACUUCUCUAAUCAUUUUUAUUUUUAGUUUAUUUAUUUCAAUUUUAUUAGUAUUCAUAUUUUGGGGGGUGAUCGGAUGGUAUUUGAUUAAAUGCUUUACUGUAAUAUUCUUUAGUUUUUUCUCUUAGUCUUUGUAAUUCUUGUAUAUUAUUUUGGAGAUAUUCUAAAUAUUCUAUAUCUUUUGUUCUAAAAUAUUCAAUUAAAUUCUCUUUCAUAAGUAUUCCUGUUAAUCUUAUUUCUUCCAUACCUUGUCUCCAAUAUUUUAAAUACUCAUAGUCUAUCAUUUUAUCCUUAAGUAGUUGUGAUACUGCAAAUUUCUUUGUAAUAAUUUAUUCUAAUUGUACUACAUCUGAUAUUAAAUUCUAGGUUAUCUAUUUCAUUAUUUAUCCUGUCUUUUUCGU